CAACCAUCAUUUAUUUGCUCACAGUUUUGCAACUGGGGCUAAGCAGGCAGGGACUGCUUGGCAGCUGAGGUGGAUCAACAGGGCUGGAGGAUCUACCUCCAUGUGGAUCACUCGGAGUUGGUGACUUGGUGCUAUUGGCUGGGAGUUCAGCUGGUACCAUGGUCCUGGAGCCUCAAUUGUACUCCACUUGGACUUUCCAGGUGGCUUAGGGACUUCCCAUAGCAUGUCAGCUGGGUCUUUCUAAGAGAGGGGAAGGUUGCAGUGAACCAAGAUUGUGCUGCCACUCUCCAGCCUGGGUGACAGAGCAAAACUCCAUCUCAAAAAAAAAAUGUGACCACUCAACCCCUCUGUCCCGGCCUUGCUGUCCCUGCUGGUCCUUCCCCCCUCCCUCCUUCUUAUAUGUGCCCAGGAACCAGAAAUAGCCUAUCAACCCUGAAGGAGUCUAACAGGCCUUGCCACUUACCACCAGUCCCCAGCAGAGCUUCCCGGAAUCAUUGUCCUCUCCCUUCCCCUUGUUCGGUUUUCUCUUUCACUUUCCUAGGCUCUUUGGCUAGGACUGGCUGCAGAAGUUGAUUUGCAUAAUUAUUUAACCCUGGUAAGAACGAAAGCUGUAAACCAAAUUAGGUAUGCCAGCAGGUAGCAGGUAUAGAAGAAGAAUCACGGGGUACAUCUGACCCUCGUCCUUGCUUCUCGUGAUCCUAGGUAAGUUAUUUAACCUCUCUAAGCCUCUGUGUACUCAGCUGUGAAAUGGGGAUAGUCA
Molecule: long non-coding RNA, 760 nt
Filed under: Homo sapiens (human)
Lineage: Eukaryota; Metazoa; Chordata; Mammalia; Primates; Hominidae
Description: non-protein coding lnc-MALT1-4:1
Source: RNAcentral